GAGAUUUUAUCUUAAUAAAAGGGCCUGAGUUGCAUUCAGGAGAUGUGGGUUAGUGUCCCGCAAGUCUUU
RNAcentral lists this transfer RNA (69 nucleotides) under Craugastor chac (Chac's rainfrog). RNAcentral describes it as "tRNA-Ala". It matches the Rfam family "tRNA". From Rfam's summary of the family: Transfer RNA (tRNA) molecules are approximately 80 nucleotides in length. Their secondary structure includes four short double-helical elements and three loops (D, anti-codon, and T loops). Further hydrogen bonds mediate the characteristic L-shaped molecular structure. tRNAs have two regions of fundamental functional importance: the anti-codon, which is responsible for specific mRNA codon recognition, and the 3' end, to which the tRNAs corresponding amino acid is attached (by aminoacyl-tRNA synthetases). tRNAs cope with the degeneracy of the genetic code in two manners: having more than one tRNA (with a specific anti-codon) for a particular amino acid; and 'wobble' base-pairing, i.e. permitting non-standard base-pairing at the 3rd anti-codon position. The record is from RNAcentral. Lineage: Eukaryota; Metazoa; Chordata; Amphibia; Anura; Craugastoridae.